UACAUGGGGUGCAAACGUUGCUCGGAAUUAUUGGGCGUAAAGCGCACGUAGGCGGUUCGUUAAGUCGGAUGUGAAAGCCCUCGGCUCAACUGAGGAAGUGCACCCGAAACUGGCGAGCUUGAGUACGAAAGAGGAUCGCGGAAUUCCCGGUGUAGAGGUGAAAUUCGUAGAUAUCGGGAGGAACACCGGUGGCGAAGGCGGCGAUCUGGGUCGAUACUGACGCUGAGGUGCGAAAGCGUGGGGAGCAACAGGG
RNAcentral lists this ribosomal RNA (253 nucleotides) under uncultured bacterium. Its description in RNAcentral is "partial 16S ribosomal RNA". It matches the Rfam family "Bacterial small subunit ribosomal RNA", at positions 524 to 776 of the family's 1533-position model. The record is from RNAcentral.